RNAcentral lists this ribosomal RNA (468 nucleotides) under uncultured bacterium. Its description in RNAcentral is "partial 16S ribosomal RNA". It matches the Rfam family "Bacterial small subunit ribosomal RNA", at positions 28 to 507 of the family's 1533-position model. The record is from RNAcentral.
GACGAACGCUGGCGGCGUGCUUAACACAUGCAAGUCGAACGGAAAGGCCCUGCUUUUGUGGGGUGCUCGAGUGGCGAACGGGUGAGUAACACGUGAGUAACCUGCCCUUGACUUUGGGAUAACUUCAGGAAACUGGGGGUAAUAACGGAUAGGAGCUCCUGCUGCAUGGUGGGGGGUGGAAAGGUUCGGCGGUUGGGGAUGGACUCGCGGCUUAUCAGCUUGUUGGUGGGGUAGUGGCUUACCAAGGCUUUGACGGGUAGCCGGCCUGAGAGGGUGACCGGCCACAUUGGGACUGAGAUACGGCCCAGACUCCUACGGGAGGCAGCAGUGGGGAAUAUUGCACAAUGGGCGGAAGCCUGAUGCAGCAACGCCGCGUGCGGGAUGACGGCCUUCGGGUUGUAAACCGCUUUCGCCUGUGACGAAGCGUGAGUGACGGUAAUGGGUAAAGAAGCACCGGCUAACUACGUG